UGUUCUUUCACUGCCAAUUGGUGAAAAAGCUCUUUCUUCAUCCUCUCCUGCCUUCAGAAGGGAAUUCAAAGAUGCAAUAGCAGGAUCCAAGGGACCAGCGCUAUCAUUAUCAAAACCGUCAUCCAUUAUCUUAUCAGUUUUCUAGUUCGUCAAGACUGCGAAUCUCCUCCCACGUGUCUAGCUGUGACUGCGUCAACUCUACCUUGUAACAGGCAGGACGGUAAUGGACUGGAGUAUUCUUGAAAGUAACCUGAUCAAUAUAGAAACAUCAUGAAAUAACUGUUAUAAAAUUCCUAUUAUGAUUGGCAGAAGGUGCAUGCUUUAUGUACAGUAACAAUUAUUCACCCAAGGCAAAGUGAAUAUCGGGGAAUAUUUACCGAGACAUGAGUCUUGGAGCUGCAAGAUAAAUAUUCUCCAAUAUUCACUGAGGCUGAGGCAGAUAAUUGUUUUAGCAUAAAUACACAGGUGGUUCUUUCAAAAAAAGAAAAACAAGAUAAAAGACAUUUUUUCUGGUAACAGCAACAAAGUGGCUGGCUGCCAUUUUGGAUUAUCACUGGAGUUGAAUAUGGUGUGAUAGUGUGAGUUUCUGGACCUGUGCAUUUUUACUAAAAGGGUAUACAGCAUCAGUUUAUGCUCUGCCUAUUUUGUCAUCCAAAAGAAUGGGUUUCAGUAGUUAUAUAUCAUUUCAAGGCUUAAAAUAAAUUCUGGUCAUUGAACAAAGUUAAACCGGAAUAUAAAUUUGUCCAGUCAAAUAUUUCCCUUGUCCAGUAACGUUGAGCCAAAAACAAGUUUUGGUCAGUCAUCAUGACAGGCGACUGAACAGCUGUCAUCUCAAGGCUUGCAUUCAACUGAAACCUACACAUCUUACAUGAUGAACACAUUCUAAGACAUCUGGUUAUUUGGAUUUUGUUAAUCAAGAAUUCUAACUUAAAUAGAUGACAGGGCAGAAAAAUAGGUUGUUCUUGCAACGUCUAUGCGUUAAUAAGCUUUAUAUUCCAUAAACAGGCUCUUUUGGGGCUGGUUAACAAAAUACCAAAAUUUGGUGAAAUUCAAAGAAUGCGUAUUUGAGAUAUAACGCCCUGAAAGUUGGGAGAGAUGAUAUUUUGAUCAGCACAAAAACUAACAUUUUCACUAAUACCUCAAAGUAGAAUUGCUCAAGGUUAGCAGAAUUUUGUGAAAAGAGCGCAAGAGACACAAAUGGAACGCUAAAUGUUUUUUAGCAUGAAUGAGAGAUCAAGAAAAAAAUUGUGAAAGUAGCAGCCUUGUCGUUUUUCUGCUCUGUCUAGAUGGAUGUAAAAUUUACAAAGUCCAAAAAACAAGAUGUAUCUCAGAUUUUAUCUGUGUCCCAUAAUUAGAAAAACAGGUGGGAAUUGCAAGUCGGCGUAUGGUUACAGUUGGAAUAGCCAUUGCAUACUUUAUUCCAACAAGAUAUAGAAAGUGAAAUCUUUCAGUUUUAAAGAUAAUGGAUUAAUGAUCUAUCAAAAUUAAUAUAAUAACAUGUGGAAUUUUAUAAUUCUUUUUCUUCUUGUCUUUUCUAUUUACGUGCAAAGUCGUAAUGAUCUGAAUAACAAAUUUAGUCAUCUUAUACUAAUUAAUUAAUAAAAUAACCUACAAAAAUACAUAAGCUUACAGAGUAUAAGGCUUCGGUGUGGUAAACUAUUUUUGAACCAAUUACUAUUUCUAAGUAACCUUAUCCGAUUUUAACUCAAGCUGAUUAACAAAAAUAUAUAAAUUGGUCUUUAACUAAUGUAUAUAUGAAAUAAAAAUACAAUCUCCAGUCAUAACGGACUGAAUAUUGAUAGGAAAAAAGAUUUCUUAUUUUUACCCCAAAAAAUUGAUUUAGUCGAUGACGUAAAUCAUUAGCAAGCAUCUUUGAAUUUAACUUCAAAAAAGAAUAUUACGAGUCUACGUACUCAAAAUAUCCCUCAGAGAACAUAAUAAAAGUCUUAUGAGUGUUUUCUGUAAAUAUAUUUUAAACUAAAGCACAUAUUUUGACGAGAAAUCUUAGACUCGUGGGCCUAAUUUGUCAUGUUUAUGCUUGACGUUAAUUAUAUUGUAGCAUCUGCAAAUUGAUAAUAAAGGGAAGUACUAGCCUCCUGAA
Molecule: long non-coding RNA, 2101 nt
Filed under: Actinia tenebrosa (Australian red waratah sea anemone)
Lineage: Eukaryota; Metazoa; Cnidaria; Anthozoa; Actiniaria; Actiniidae
Description: uncharacterized LOC116291273
Source: RNAcentral